ACCUGAGGACAGACAGAGCCUCAGACUUCCUGCAGCUCCUGGCUCUGUGCUCUCAGGUGUUCCUUUUGUCACUCCCUGUACUUGGCGGAUAAAGAUGGAUCCAGGUCCAAAGGGGCACUGCCAUGGUGGUGGCAAUGGCCCAGGGCACUGUCCUGGGGGAAACCACCCCCCAGGGCCCUGUGGGCACCCCCCUGGCCAUGACCCAGGACAUGGUCCUGGGGGGAACCACCCCCCAGGGCCCUGUGGGCACCCCCCUGGCCAUGGCCCAGGACACGGUCCUGGGGGGAACCACCCCCCAGGUCCCUGUGGAUCCCCACCUGGUCCACCUCACUAAGGAAGCAGAAGAAAGAGGACACAAUGGGGAGCCCGAGUCGCGUUGCCCUGCUGACCUGGCAUGGAGCCUGAAGCAGAAUCUUCUCUUCCCAAUAAACAGCCUCCCAGAGGCCAUAUUUUAUUCUUAAA
Long non-coding RNA from Neogale vison (American mink), 462 nucleotides. RefSeq lists it as uncharacterized. Lineage: Eukaryota; Metazoa; Chordata; Mammalia; Carnivora; Mustelidae. The transcript has 4 exons. The record is from RefSeq and is a predicted model, not a curated record.